This 399-nucleotide ribosomal RNA is filed under the name uncultured Glomeraceae. RNAcentral describes it as "eukaryotic LSU rRNA". Lineage: Eukaryota; Fungi; Glomeromycota; Glomeromycetes; Glomerales; Glomeraceae. The record is from RNAcentral.
GUGAAAUUGUUGGAAAGGAAACGAUUAAAGUCAGUCGUACCAACGGGAAAUCAACCUUUUGAGUUCGGUCUUGUGGGUUUGUAAGAGUUUCAAAGCCUUCUGAUUUGUGAGAUUGGGAUCUCUUGGUGCACUUUUUCGUACGGUUAGUCAACAUCGGUUUUAAUCAUUAUAAAAUGGUUGGAGGAAUGUGGCUUCGAUCUCGUAUUGAAGUGUUAUAGCCUUUGGUAGAUGUGAUGUUCGAGACCGAGGAUUGCAACGGAUACCCUUCUGGGCUAUUCGUCUGAUCUCUGAAACGUUGCCUUGAUGUCGAAAGCUUGCUUAUGAUGUUAGGGUAUUACGGUCAAAAGGUUAGAACGGAUUAAAUUCGUUAAGGAUGUUGACGUAAUGGCUUUAAACGAC